GCACCAUCGCUUCCUCAUUUGAUUUUAUGCAGUAGCCAACGUUAGGAGUUAUUCUCACAUCGUGUUUGGCAGCCGGCUUCAUAGCAAUACCAUUCUCACUUCAACAUCAUGGAUCAGGUAUCAAUUUUGCUAAUAGUUCGCAUUUGGGGGAAAUGAUGAGAUGGUGACUUUCUUUCUUCGAUUGUACUUGCCAAGGAUUUUAAAUAAUUGGAAUUAGACCCUUGUCUACAAAAAGUUUCUACUAAAUAUCAGGAUUGAGUCGCGAUGGCGACUGAAGAGGCAUUUGAACCUUUUACCUGUGGUGAAAAGAGGAAAGAAGCUGUGGUAUCGUUCAUCACUACAGAUAGCGAGGAUGAUGCAUCUGUUAAGACGAAGCGAAACAUCUGGCGUACGGCAUCGAUGUUAUCGCCUUGCGAAAAGGUCUUAUCCUUUCUUGAUUGCGAAGAAAAAACUGAAUUUAUGAGAGUAAAGCCUCUUGAAAUCAGUACAAAAUUAGAGCCGGAGAAGAAAUACCUCUGCUUAAAAUAUGGACCUAAAAAGAAACCCAUGUUCAUCCAUCUGGAUUUCACAGACGAGUCACGGUAGA
Strongylocentrotus purpuratus (purple sea urchin) is the source of this 586-nucleotide long non-coding RNA. RefSeq lists it as uncharacterized. The record is from RefSeq and is a predicted model, not a curated record. The transcript is spliced from 3 exons. NCBI's taxonomy places the organism in Eukaryota, Metazoa, Echinodermata, Echinoidea, Camarodonta, Strongylocentrotidae.